RNAcentral lists this long non-coding RNA (358 nucleotides) under Vigna radiata. RNAcentral describes it as "long non-coding RNA (VRAD_LNC006585)". The record is from RNAcentral. Lineage: Eukaryota; Viridiplantae; Streptophyta; Magnoliopsida; Fabales; Fabaceae.
GGUGGGAGAUCAAUUGCUAACAGUAGAAAGAUUGCUUGGAUUUCUCUCAAGGUUUGACAUAUGCUAAAGCCAUACUUUGUUAUANUUGUUUUAUUUUAAUGUUAUUCACUAACUAUUAUCAACUGUGGUGAUAUAUUGUAGUGUAACAGACAAAAUGGGUCAUAUGAGUGCGGAUACUAUGUAAUGUAUUGGAUGACCCAUAUUGUUCGUUCUCACAUCACAAGUCGCUGGGAAACGGUAAUAUUUAACUUUAACAAAUUNUGAUUUUUUUCCCAAAUGUUGAAUUCAUAUACACUAAUUAAUAUGAAUUGUCUUUUGCAGAAAUUCAAGACUACUACACCAGUUCCUAAGAAGCCAC